GCAGAAUUCAGUGAAUCAUCGAAUCUUUGAACGCACCUUGCGCUCCUUGGUAUUCCGAGGAGCAUGCCUGUUUGAGUGUCAUGAAACCCUCAAACCCAAGUUUUGGAUUUCGAUCCAUGCUUGAGUUUGGAUUUGGAUGUUUGCCGGUGAUGAACCGACUCAUCUUAAAAGUAUUAGCUUGGAUCUGUCUAUAUGACUGGUUUGACUUGGCAUAAUAAGUAUUUUGCUGAGGACAUCCUCGGAUGGCCAGGACCUAGACUACUGUCUGCUAACUAAACCAUCACUUUAAGUGCAUCUUUGGAUGUUACUCAUUGUGUAACUUUGACAUCUGGCCUCAAAUCAAGUAGGACUACCCGCUGAACUUAAGCAUAUCAAUAAGCGGAGGAA
Molecule: ribosomal RNA, 387 nt
Filed under: Filobasidium magnum
Lineage: Eukaryota; Fungi; Basidiomycota; Tremellomycetes; Filobasidiales; Filobasidiaceae
Description: eukaryotic LSU rRNA
Rfam family: 5.8S ribosomal RNA (bases 1-81)
Source: RNAcentral